RNAcentral lists this ribosomal RNA (400 nucleotides) under uncultured bacterium. Its description in RNAcentral is "bacterial SSU rRNA". It matches the Rfam family "Bacterial small subunit ribosomal RNA", at positions 355 to 746 of the family's 1533-position model. The record is from RNAcentral.
UGGGGAAUUGUUCGCAAUGGGCGCAAGCCUGACGACGCAACGCCGCGUGGAGGAUGAAGGUCUUCGGAUUGUAAACUCCUGUUGAUUGGGACGAACAUCCAUCGGGAUAACACCCCGGAGGACUGACGGUACCGAUUGAGGAAGCCCCGGCUAACUCUGUGCCAGCAGCCGCGGUAAUACAGAGGGGGCAAGCGUCGUUCGGAAUUACUGGGCGUAAAGGGCGCGUAGGCGGCCGCCUAAGUCAGACGUGAAAUCCCUCGGCUCAACCGGGGAACUGCGUCUGAUACUGGGUGGCUUGAAUCCGGGAGAGGGAUGUGGAAUUCCAGGUGUAGCGGUGAAAUGCGUAGAUAUCUGGAGGAACACCGGUGGCGAAGGCGGCAUCCUGGACCGGUAUUGACGC